GCCUUUCGAAAGAAAGAUUAAUACCCGAUAGCAUAAUGAUUCCGCAUGGUUUCAUUAUUAAAGGAUUCCGGUAAAGGAUGGGGAUGCGUUCCAUUAGGUUGUUGGUGAGAUAACGGCUCACCAAGCCUUCGAUGGAUAGGGGUUCUGAGAGGAAGGUCCCCCACAUUGGAACUGAGACACGGUCCAAACUCCUACGGGAGGCAGCAGUGAGGAAUAUUGGUCAAUGGGCGUUAGCCUGAACCAGCCAAGUAGCGUGAAGGAUGAAGGCUCUAUGGGUCGUAAACUUCUUUUAUAUAAGAAUAAAGUGCAGUAUGUAUACUGUUUUGUAUGUAUUAUAUGAAUAAGGAUCGGCUAACUCCGUGCCAGCAGCCGCGGUAAUACGGAGGAUCCGAGCGUUAUCCGGAUUUAUUGGGUUUAAAGGGAGCGUAGGUGGACUGGUAAGUCAGUUGUGAAAGUUUGCGGCUCAACCGUAAAAUUGCAGUUGAUACUGUCAGUCUUGAGUACAGUAGAGGUGGGCGGAAUUCGUGGUGUAGCGGUGAAAUGCU
RNAcentral lists this ribosomal RNA (545 nucleotides) under Bacteroides fragilis. RNAcentral describes it as "bacterial SSU rRNA". It matches the Rfam family "Bacterial small subunit ribosomal RNA", at positions 146 to 690 of the family's 1533-position model. Lineage: Bacteria; Pseudomonadati; Bacteroidota; Bacteroidia; Bacteroidales; Bacteroidaceae. The record is from RNAcentral.